CUAGUAGUAGUUGCUUAUUUGUUUGCAGAAAUAAUUGCGUGGGUACGAAAGUCAAACGAGAAUGAAGCAAGUAUAUUAUCUAGUUUCUAUGUCUUUAAAUAGUUUAUCCUCCACACGUCUAAACAUACGCACCUGCUAGUAGGUGCGCAAACGUUAAAACUUCUUUGGAAAGCAAUUUGGCAAAAUCCAGUAAAAAAGUAUUUUCAAUUACUAUACCCUAGCACUCUGCUGCUACCUAUACGUCUUGUAGAAACUUUGGUACGUGAACGAGGAUGUGUGUAACAGCGCUGUGGGUAGAAGCAAAAAAUUAGAAACGUCCAUCAAUAAGAGAAUAAAUACCUUAUGGGAUGUUAAUUAGGAUGUAGUAUUAUACGCCCAUAAAAGAAGACUGAACUCAGAUAUGUGAUGAGGCAAAAAGAGAAAGAUGUGGAAAAAUAAAUAGUAUGACAAUUCAUGUGCAUUCAACUCUAAAACUUGUAAAAUAAUGCUAUGUAUUGCUUAGUUAUGUAUAUAUAUGUAGUUAAAGUAGUCAAGAAUACAAGAGAAUGAAAAUCAAGUUGAGAAAAGCGGUCAUAUCUGGUAAAGAUUUCCCAAGACCAAAAGGCUUAUGUGCACUGCUCCAUUGCACUGUUUCUGCUGCUGGUUCUGCUUUGACUCUCCCAGAAGAAAACCAGGGUUGUCACCGGAAGUUCCUGAAGUAAUCUCCUUUUUAAGCAAACUUUGAUUAUUAUACUAUUUGGUGACGGAGGCUGAGAAGUCCAACUUCAAGGGGCCACAUCUGGUGAGAGCCUUCAUUCCGAUGAGAGCCCUCGUGCUGGUGGAACUUUGUCUUCCGAGUUCCAAGGUGGUUCAGGGCAUCACAUGGCGAAGGAGCUGAGCGUGCUAGCUCAGGUGUCUCUUCCUCUCCUUAUAAAGCCACCAGUCCCACUCCUGUGGUAGUAACUCUUUAACCCAUCAACCCAUUAAUUCAUUAAUCCAUGAAUAGAUUAACCCAGAGACCUCUGCCCUCAGGACCCAAUCACCUCUUAAAGGCCUGACCUGUCAAUAUUGCCAUACUGGGGACUCAGUUUCAACAUGAGUUUUGAAAGGGACUAACAUUCAAUCCAUAGUAACAUGAGAGCUUUUCAAAGCCCUUCUUUCUUGAAGUAUGCCCUUCUCCAGCCUCUUUUUUCCCAGGCUUUUUGUUUUUUCUAUUGCUCGUGCAACUGUUAUCCUUUGCCACAGGUGGCAAUAGCUCAUACAUUUGCCUUUAAAUUUGUUUGACAAACGUCACCCUGGAAGUAGCCUCAACUCUGGGGAAGCUCCAAGGCAGGUAAAAUACAGUUUUGCCACCUGGGAGAAUCAAAGAACCAACUAAUUUGUGAGGAUGUGAAGAGGAGGCAUUCCUAACUUUCCACUUACCCAUUAAGACCCAGUUGAAAUCUUUCAUCUUGGAGCGGGGGACAGUGGUCCUGUUGCCCCGUGCCCACCUGCAUCUGGAAGCAGAGCUGAUCACUCUCCUUGGUAGAACAGCGUGCCUCACAUAUACCCCUGUUAUACAUUUUGUUACAUGUCAUUCGAAUUUUGUAUCUCUCUACAUAAUUGUUUCAACUAUAAGAUGCACAAAUUCCUUGAGGUUGGGAACCAGGUCGUCUUUAUUUUUUUAACUCCAGGGCCAUGCAUAGGCCCUGGUUGUAUCUGGUGAGUUCCUGGCAGGAAGCAGAUGAUGCCUUCAAACUGGGUAGUCAAGGGCAGUUUAACGAUAUUAUAGGCCAUGUGCAGUGGCUUAUGCCUGUAGUCCUAGCUCUUUGGGAGGCUGAGGCAGGAGGAUCACUUGAGCCCAGGA
This is a long non-coding RNA of Cercocebus atys (sooty mangabey), 1825 nucleotides long. RefSeq lists it as uncharacterized. The transcript has 4 exons. The record is from RefSeq and is a predicted model, not a curated record. NCBI's taxonomy places the organism in Eukaryota, Metazoa, Chordata, Mammalia, Primates, Cercopithecidae.